This 430-nucleotide ribosomal RNA is filed under the name Bacteroidota bacterium. Its description in RNAcentral is "Bacteroidetes bacterium partial 16S ribosomal RNA". It matches the Rfam family "Bacterial small subunit ribosomal RNA", at positions 355 to 776 of the family's 1533-position model. The record is from RNAcentral. Lineage: Bacteria; Pseudomonadati; Bacteroidota.
UAGGGAAUCUUCGGCAAUGGGGGGAACCCUGACCGAGCAACGCCGCGUGAGUGAAGAAGGUUUUCGGAUCGUAAAGCUCUGUUGUUAAGGAAGAACGAGUGUGAGAAUGGAAAGUUCAUACUGUGACGGUACUUAACCAGAAAGGGACGGCUAACUACGUGCCAGCAGCCGCGGUAAUACGUAGGUCCCGAGCGUUGUCCGGAUUUAUUGGGCGUAAAGCGAGCGCAGGCGGUCAAUUAAGUCUGAUGUGAAAGCCCCCGGCUCAACCGGGGAGGGUGAUUGGAAACUGGUUGACUUGAGUGCAGAAGAGGAGAGUGGAAUUCCAUGUGUAGCGGUGAAAUGCGUAGAUAUAUGGAGGAACACCAGUGGCGAAGGCGACUCUCUGGUCUGUAACUGACGCUGAGGCUCGAAAGCGUGGGUAGCAAACAGG